AGUGAACGCUGGCGGUAGGCCUAACACAUGCAAGUCGAACGGCAGCACAGUAAGAGCUUGCUCUUACGGGUGGCGAGUGGCGGACGGGUGAGGAAUACAUCGGAAUCUACUUUUUCGUGGGGGAUAACGUAGGGAAACUUACGCUAAUACCGCAUACGACCUACGUGUGAAAGCAGGGGAUCUUCGGACCUUGCUGCUAUGAAUAUGCCGAUGUCGGAUUAGCUAGUUGCCGGGGUAAAGGCCCACCAAGGCGACGAUCCGUAGCUGGUCUGAGAGGAUGAUCAGCCACACUGGAACUGAGACACGGUCCAGACUCCUACGGGAGGCAGCAGUGGGGAAUAUUGGACAAUGGGCGCAAGCCUGAUCCAGCCAUACCGCGUGGGUGAAGAAGGCCUUCGGGUUGUAAAGCCCUUUUGUUGGGAAAGAAAAGCAGCAGGUUAAUACCACGCUGUUCUGACGGUACCCAAAGAAUAAGCACCGGCUAACUUCGUG
Molecule: ribosomal RNA, 492 nt
Filed under: uncultured bacterium
Lineage: Bacteria
Description: partial 16S ribosomal RNA
Rfam family: Bacterial small subunit ribosomal RNA
Source: RNAcentral